This 495-nucleotide ribosomal RNA is filed under the name uncultured bacterium. RNAcentral's name for it is "partial 16S ribosomal RNA". It matches the Rfam family "Bacterial small subunit ribosomal RNA", at positions 28 to 505 of the family's 1533-position model. The record is from RNAcentral.
GAUGAACGCUGGCGGCGUGCCUAAUACAUGCAAGUCGAGCGAACAGACGAGGAGCUUGCUCCUCUGACGUUAGCGGCGGACGGGUGAGUAACACGUGGAUAACCUACCUAUAAGACUGGGAUAACUUCGGGAAACCGGAGCUAAUACCGGAUAAUAUAUUGAACCGCAUGGUUCAAUAGUGAAAGACGGUUUUGCUGUCACUUAUAGAUGGAUCCGCGCCGCAUUAGCUAGUUGGUAAGGUAACGGCUUACCAAGGCAACGAGGCGUAGCCGACCUGAGAGGGGGAGCGGCCACAAGGGAACUGAGACCCGGCCCAGACUCCUACGGGAGGCAGAAGUAGGAAAUCUGCCGCAAGGGGCGAAAGCCGGACAGAGCAACGCCGCGUGAGGGAUGAAGGCCUUGGGAUCGUAAAACUCUUUUAUUAGGGAAAAAGAAAUGUGUAAGUAACUAGGGACGUCGUGAGGGUACUGAAAAAGAAAGCCGGGGAAAACUACG